Molecule: long non-coding RNA, 9560 nt
Organism: Pseudophryne corroboree (corroboree frog)
Lineage: Eukaryota; Metazoa; Chordata; Amphibia; Anura; Myobatrachidae
Exons: 12
Source: RefSeq, a predicted model, not a curated record
UUUCCUAUAGAAGAAAUGUAUACACGUGCUGCACUGCAGCAGUUGGUGACCGGAAGUAACGUUCCAACCAGGAAACGGCGUGUGAGAAGACCGAUGCGGAUGUUACCCGCUGCCGCCGGCCUCCACCGCACCAAGGCGGCCAGGGCAGAUACUCUAUUGAAUAUUGAGGUUUUUGGGUACCUGAAAGAAAAUGGUUUGCUUCUUCUAUUGGCAAAGUUGCAACAGGAUGGCACAAUGUCUUCAAACAAUCUGGAUGUUCUAGACUGCUCUGGUGGGCAAUAAAAGCAAGCAUCAGGAUCCAGUGCUGCAGACUACAGAGUUUCGGAUGCUGCUGGACAAGAUGAGUAUUGAGUUCAGUGCACAGGGCAGAUACUCUAUUGAAUAUUGAGGUUUUUGGGUACCUGAAAGAAAAUGGUUUGCUUCUUCUAUUGGCAAAGUUGCAAGAGGAUGGCAAUGUCUUCAAACAAUCUGGAUGUUCUAGACUGCUCUGGUGGGCAAUAAAAGCAAGCAUCAGGAUCCAGUGCUGCAGACUACAGAGUUUCGGAUGCUGCUGGACAAGAUGAGUAUUGAGUUCAGUGCACAGGGCAGCUACUCUAUUGAAUAUUGUGGUUUUUGGGUUCCUGAAAGAAAAUGGUUUGCUUCUUCCAUUGGCAAAGUUGCAAGAGGAUGACAAUGUCUUCAAACAAUCUGGAUGUUCUAGAUGGCUCUGUGGUGGGCAAUAAAAGCAAGCAUCAGGAUCCAGUGCUGCAAACUACAGAGUUUUGGAUGCUGCUGGACAAGAUGAGUAUUGAGUUCAGUGCACAGGGAAGAUACUCUAUUGAAUGUUGAGGUUUUUGGGUACCUGAAAGAAAAUGGUUUGCUUCAUCCAUUAGCAAAUUUGCAAGAGGAAGCCAAUGUCUUCAAACACGGAGGACAGCUGUGUGGGUGACAUUAAAAGCGAGCAUCAGGAUUCAGUGCUGCAGACUAUUGUGUCUCCGAAGCUGCCGGACUCGAUGUUUGUUGACUUCAGUGCACAGGGCAGCUAUUCUAUUGAAUAUUGUGGUUUUUGGGUUCCUGAAAGAAAAUGGUUUGCUUCUUCCAUUGGCAAAGUUGCAAGAGGAUGACAAUGUCUUCAAACAAUCUGGAUGUUCUAGAUGGCUCUGUGGUGGGCAAUAAAAGCAAGCAUCAGGAUCCAGUGCUGCAAACUACAGAGUUUUGGAUGCUGCUGGACAAGAUGAGUAUUGAGUUCAGUGCACAGGGAAGAUACUCUAUUGAAUGUUGAGGUUUUUGGGUACCUGAAAGAAAAUGGUUUGCUUCAUCCAUUAGCAAAUUUGCAAGAGGAAGCCAAUGUCUUCAAACACGGAGGACAGCUGUGUGGGUGACAUUAAAAGCGAGCAUCAGGAUUCAGUGCUGCAGACUAUUGUGUCUCCGAAGCUGCCGGACUCGAUGUUUGUUGACUUCAGUGCACAGGGCAGCUACUCUAUUGAAUAUUGUGGUUUUUGGGUUCCUGAAAGAAAAUGGUUUGCUUCUUCCAUUGGCAAAGUUGCAAGAGGAUGGCAAUGUCUUCAAACAAUCUGGAUGUUCUAGAUGGCUCUGUGGUGGGCAAUAAAAGCAAGCAUCAGGAUCCAGUGCUGCAAACUACAGUGUUUUGGAUGCUGCUGGACAAGAUGAGUAUUGAGUUCAGUGCACAGGGAAGAUACUCUAUUGAAUGUUGAGGUUUUUGGGUACCUGAAAGAAAAUGGUUUGCUUCAUCCAUUAGCAAAUUUGCAAGAGGAAGCCAAUGUCUUCAAACACGGAGGACAGCUGUGUGGGUGACAUUAAAAGCGAGCAUCAUGAUUCAGUGCUGCAGACUAUUGUCUCCGAAGCUGCCGGACUCGAUGUUUGUUGACUUCAGUGCACAGGGCAGCUAUUCUAUUGAAUAUUGUGGUUUUUGGGUUCCUGAAAGAAAAUGGUUUGCUUCUUCCAUUGGCAAAGUUGCAAGAGGAUGACAAUGUCUUCAAACAAUCUGGAUGUUCUAGAUGGCUCUGUGGUGGGCAAUAAAAGCAAGCAUCAGGAUCCAGUGCUGCAAACUACAGAGUUUUGGAUGCUGCUGGACAAGAUGAGUAUUGAGUUCAGUGCACAGGGAAGAUACUCUAUUGAAUGUUGAGGUUUUUGGGUACCUGAAAGAAAAUGGUUUGCUUCAUCCAUUAGCAAAUUUGCAAGAGGAAGCCAAUGUCUUCAAACACGGAGGACAGCUGUGUGGGUGACAUUAAAAGCGAGCAUCAGGAUUCAGUGCUGCAGACUAUUAUGUCUCCGAAGCUGCCGGACUCGAUGUUUGUUGACUUCAGUGCACAGGGCAGCUAUUCUAUUGAAUAUUGAGGUAAUUAAUAUCCUAAAACAGAGGACUUCCGGUGGGUGGCGCAUCCAAGAUGGCCACGUUUUAACUGAGCUCUGCUCACAACGGCCCCAUCCAUCACCAUCCACCCACUCCCCAGCCACCUAUUGGAAUAUUUCUGAUGAGAUUUCCUUCCCCUAACACUGGGAUACCUGUUGCUGCCCGUUUGGAGAAGAUCCGUGGAGUGGAGGCCCUGUUCCCCGGAGUCGGGCCCACGUCCGGGCUGCCGCGUGGCGAGGAUCCGUGCUACCCGCCCUCCCGUUUGGAUUACCCUGCGGUCACUGCCGGCCAGCUUGCCGCACCUUUACCUCGAACUUGGGGAAGUCCGCCGUGCUGUCCCCUCGGGUCGCCGCCUGCCUGCCAUCGGGCUGAAGACUGAGCCCGGAUAUCCGUGGAGCCGCCUUUGGGACGCCUGAGUUGCUAACUGGCCGGCGGAGCUCGAAGCUGAAGAAGGAGCCCACACUUACCUCCUCCCGCUCCUGGGACUCCUGCGGCGGCUGGAUUGGGGCCGCGCUGACAGCCUGCGGUCCGAGGUGUUCGGGGCUCCGUCACCUUGGCCGUCGCUCGGCUCACACACGCGCCGCGGCUCCCCUGCAGGGCAGACUGCCGCUGGUCUAACCCCCUCCGGCGCUGACUCGCCGGUCCUGUCACCUGCUUGCCUGGCUGUCGGGGAAUCUUAUUGCCGCAGCCGCGACCCCUGUGGAUUUGGAUAUCGUUCCUCGUCGAGGCGCCUUCGGUGGUGCGGGAUUCCUUCUCUGGGGGAGACACCUGCUGUUGUGGACAGAUACUGGGGCCUGACCAUUCCCCCACUACAUUUGAUUGAUACCUACACUCUGCCGCUGGAGAAGCGUUGCUGCGCCCUGAAUAUUGCCCAUAUAAUUGUACUGUCCCCUCAUAACCUUGGGGAGAUCCUGAUUGAGCCAGCUGCUUACUUUACCCCACGGAGAUAUAGGGAGAGCUAUUUCAUUGCUGCUGUGACUGGCCUUGAGACACUUUGGGACCCUGUGGCGUUGGCUUGCUCUUUCUAACAGGGGAUCCAUUUAGUUUCCUCAAUACCCUCCUCACUCCCUGCUCACUAAACACUCUUCCUACGUUUCCUUGCCUCUUACUUUUUCCAGUCUCUCCUUUGAAGUGCUUUUCUCCCUGGCACGGUCCCUAUCCCUUUGUUGUUUUCCUUCCCACUUUUCUGCUCUAACCUCCUUUCCUCUUCUCCCCCUAUCCUAGAUCUGCUCUGAUUAUACUAGCCCAUAUAAUGUUCCCAGGUUGCAGAUGUAUGGAUCUACAGUUCUUCACAUAGCACCAUAGCUGGGCCUGGGUGACGCUGACAUCUGGUGGCCACUCCACUGCCUGCAGCAAUUCUAUAUGCAAUAUUGUAUUGUGCAUUACUAUGAUUAUGGUGUAUCUCUAUGCACAAUGCAUACACACAAUUAUUAGUAUUAUUGCUUACUAUUGCCUUUGCCAUUUUUAUGCACAAUUGUUCUUUUACAUGUAAUAAUUAAUACCCGGAUCAGAAUUACCUCCCUUAUAAUACUAGAGUUUGCUGUUUGUUGAUUUGUUACUAUAUACCUAGGAGGUGUGAAAUUCAUAUAUAGUUAUGUGAUAUUUUAUCUACCCCUUUGGGGGCGCUAUACUUUACGAUUUCAGAUGUUUUUCAUCUGAUACUUCUAUUUACUGGUGAACGGUGUCCGAUCCUUUCGGAUCUCUCCUAUUAAACAUUUCAUAAUUGAUGGAGAGGUUUUUGAAUAGAACUGUAUCAGAUAAUAUGGUUAGAAGGAAGUCACAUAAGACAGGUGGUUCUUCCCCCUCUCAGUCGCAGCCUGUAACGAACAUGGAUGGGAACCCCGACCUCAUGUCCCAGCCUGACAUGAUCCCCCCAGUGUCCCAAACUGCCAAAGAGAUCCUUUCGGUACUUAUGCCCCAUAUUGAUAGGAAAUUAGACGAGUUUAAGGAUUCGUUUCAGUCCACCCUGCGAGAAGUAGCCUCGAACACCUCGAGAAUAUCGGAUGUGGAGCAGAGAGUCAGUGAUCUAGAGGACACGGUCCACAAUGUGGAGUCCUCGGCUGACUCGUCCAUUGGCAUGAUCCGGGAGCUCCAAGAUAAACUAGAUGAACUAGAAAAUCGGAAUCGGAGAAAUAAUCUUCGCUUUAUUGGUAUCCCGGAGCAUGUCAAACCCUCCCUCCUGGGUGAUUACCUUGCCUCUCAAUUAGUUCCUGCUCUCCAUAUAUCUGACAAGAUGGAAUUUCCCCAGGUUGAGAGGGUCCAUAGGGUGGGGGCUGAGAGGGAUGGUCCCAAUCCUCCUCCUAGGCCGGUGGUGGCCCGCUACUUUGAUUAUAGGACGAAAGAAAUAAUACUACGUGCAUAUAAAAAAUUGGGCAAAUUAGUUAUUGACGGUACCCGUAUUUUGAUUUUUCAAGAUUUUUCAGUGGCGGUCACUCAGAAAAGAAGGGCGUUCUCACCAGUUUGUAAAUUUUUGGUGGCAUCGCAAAAACAUUUUUGCCUUGCUCUACCCGGCCAAGCUAAGGGUCACUGAUAAUGGCCGUACUAUUUUCUUUGACGACCCAGAUGAAGCCCGUAAACACUUCCUGUCCUCUCCCUCCUCACAGAGUUCACCAGUAACGAUGUCCCUGAGGUCUCCCAAUCGCUAAAUGUGUAUGUUAAUACGAAUAUUGUUUAUGUACUUUAAUACUGUUUUCCAUUUGACGGUGGGGGACGAGGGUUUAUCUUUUUAUUCGCCCCUCUUUAGUUAACAGUUAUUAUGUUAUUACAUAGGAGACUGGUUCUCCACAUCCUGUUUACUGUUUAUUUUUUGUUGAUUCUAAUGGUUGGUCGCAGUGUCGCCACUGUGAUCCUCCAAGAAAAUUUUUGGUUUGAGAAAAUUCAGAAACUGUUAUUGAAGCAUGAUUUUUUCUUUCUUGACAAUUGUGACACGUAUAAUCUACUAUACUCCCAAAUGUUCAUAUUGUAUUUUGGUGCACUGGUGGAGGAGAGAUGGGAACACCUGGCCGAGAUUGUGAUCAGUGGAAUGCCCUCUGCUUGCUGGGACAGGGGGCCUCGCCAUACAUUAAUGGGACUGUGGGGUAGACUCAGUGCAGUGAACACUGGGAUUGGAUAAUGGCAAGUCAUACACAUAAUUUACCGUACUCGCCUCCCCACGACUCAAUUAAAUGCCUAUCAUGGAAUGUGGGUGGGCUCAAUUCCCCCAUUAAGCGUCAAAGGGUCCUAUCCCACCUUAAGAAAUUUAGCCCAGAUAUCAUUUUUCUACAGGAGACCCACUGGAGGGAGGGUGAUGGUUCCUCCCUUCGCGCUGGUUGGUUAGGUGAUUGUUUUUCGGCCUCAACUGGCAAUAAAACCAGAGGGGUGGCUAUCCUUUUUGCAAGACACCUCCCAUACACUGUCUUAAACAUUGUCGUGGAUCCUGAUGGCCGAUACUUACUGAUAGAUGUUAAGAUUGGAGAUGCCGCAUACACUCUUAUGAAUAUAUACGCUCCUAAUACUCAAGUGUCCGAAUUCUUGAUUAAGGUGACCUUCUUGAUACAACAGCGAGAGACUUAUCCACUGAUACUUGGGGGUGACUUCAAUACGGUGCAUGAUCCGACCUUGGACAAGACUCCAAUCCCAUCCAAUCGACAUUCUGCUAUUUGGUCUACACUUGUAAAAUUUAUUUUGGGGCUCCAAGUGACUGAUGUCUGGAGACUUUUUAACGCAUCAGAUAAAUCUUUUACUUUUCAUUCGGGAGUUCAUCACACGGUCUCCCGCAUAGACUACUUCUUAGUGGCGAAUUCUCUAAUAUCCGAGGUGACCUCCGCAAAUAUUGCUGAGGUCUUGGUCUCGGAUCAUGCACCGAUUGAGUUCUCAUUUAGGUUGCCACAUACAGGCCCUACACACCGCACCUGGAGAUUCCCUGCAUACCUAUUCCAAUCAGAAAAAUUUAAGGAAUACUUAAAACGUAACUGGUUAGACUAUGUAGACAUCAAUAUCGCACACUGGAAUGACCCGGUCCUUUUUUGGGAGGCAUCGAAGUCCGUGAUGCGAGGCAGUAUUAUAUCAUACGUAUCUAGUCGUAAUAAGAUUCAAAAGGACCAAUAUCGUACCCUUUCCCAUACGGUGCAGACUACGUUUGCCGAGUAUGUGGCAGACUCAUCGGAGGAAAAAUUUAUUAUAUACAAUCAGAAAAUUUUCUAUUAUCCCAAGCUCAAUCGCGCUUGGACUACACGAAAAAUAAAUAUUAUAGAUGGGGUGCCAAGACAGGACGUCUAUUGGCCUCAUUAACCAAAGGCUAUAAACGAAGAAACCAUAUUGUCACUAUUAAAGACACUAGGACCUCUCAUUGUCUGACACAAACUUCUGAUAUAUCAAAGGCCUUUUACGACUAUUAUUGUAAUUUAUAUUCUGCCAGACCAUCAACCCCAGAAUCUUUAGACGCUAUUAUCAGAGAGGCCAACCUGCCUAGUCUAGAUUCAGAACAAAUUGACCUUUUAGACUCGGAAAUUACGGAGGAGGAAGUAAGAAUGGAUAUUUCUUCUUUGCAUACUUGCAAAGCCCCGGGACCAGAUGGAUUCUCGGGAGAAUAUUUUAAAAUUUUGUCCACUGAUAUUGUCCCGACUUUGCUAGAAUUGUAUCUCACUAUCCAUAAAAAACGCCCAUACUACCCCUCUUUUAAUGCUGCCUUUACGACUCUUAUUCCAAAACCCGACCGUGACCCUACAUUAUUGAGCUCCUAUCGUCCCAUUACCCUACUAAAUGUAGAUUUUAAAAUUCUAUCUAAAAUUAUGUCAUCUCGCCUACAAUUAUUUUCCUCCUCCCUAUGUUCAUCUCACCAACUAGGUUUUACCCGAGGCAGACAGUUAGUCAAAGGUAUUCGUACAGCCAUUGCUUCCAUUGUUGCCUCCAAUAAUAACCCCACCGUUCCUAAUAUGCUUCUGAGCCUUGACGCUCAUAAAGCUUUUGAUACGGUAUCCUGGCCCUUUUUAUUUAAAGUCCUAUCAACCAGAAAUUUUGGCUCAGAUUUUAUUAACCUUAUAAAGUUCUUCUAUAGCUCCCCCACUACUCUCCUUUUAGUAAACGGCACGAGGAGCGAUCCUAUUGUCAUGUCUAGAGGUACUCGCCAGGGAUGCCCUCUAUCUCCCCUACUCUUUAAUUUAUCCCUUGACCCCUUACUUCGUAUAAUCGAUUCUUGGCCCACCUUGAAGGGCAUUUUGGUUGGUUCGGUGGAAGUGAAACUCACUGCAUUCGCGGAUGAUGUUCUGAUUUACAUGUCUAACCCUAAACAUUCCCUCAGGCCACUGUUGGAACUGCUUGACAGGGUGGGAUCCCUCUCUGGCUUCUUCAUUAACUUUGAAAAAUCCAGUGCACUCUAUCUGAAAAGAGGUUUUUAUAGAACCUUGUGGGCGGCGCAACUACCUUUGAAUUGGGCCAAAAAGACACUUCCAUACCUGGGUGUUCUUCUCCCCAAAAAUAUUGUAGACCUUUAUGAUAUAAAUAUUGGGAAAAUACUCUCAACACUCACGAGGGACCUUGAUGCGACGGUACAUUUGCCACUUUCCUUUUUAGGAAGGACAAGCAUAAUCAAAAUGAUAUAUUUUCCAAAACUCCUUUACCCGUUACAAGUUCUCCCCCUUUUACUUUCUAGACAAGAUCUCUUACAGAUAACGGCGACCUUUAGAAAAUUUAUUUGGAAUAAUAAGCGCGCGAGAAUUGGUUUAUUUAAAUUAGGUCAGCCUAAAACCAAUGGGGGAGUUAACUUUCCAGAUAUUCUGACAUAUAGUUAUGCUUCCCAUGUUCGUUAUAUUAAAGACUGGUUGUCUGGUACCCAAACCUACUCGGAUUCACUUCUCGAACAAAAUUUUGUUCCUCAGGUGUCUCUGGUAGCCUUUUUACACUUAACUGAUGCCGAGAUUCCCACUGAUUUAUUGAUCAAUCCCCUCUUAAUGACUACGAGGAAAGUUUGGCUAUCCUUGAGACAUAAAUAUAAAUUACAUAAACAUAUAUCUAUCCAUUUACCUUUUUUACAUAACCCGGGCUUUCAAAAUGGAGAAGCCGCCCAUCCUUUCAAUGACUGGAAAUCUUUAGGAAUCUGUAAUAUAGGCCAACUUAUUGACCCUAGAUCCCAUAAACCACUGACAUAUGCGGAGGCCUUAUCUAAAUACCCAUACAUCGGCCCCCAAAACUUUGCUUUCUUCCAAGCCCAACAUUAUGUUAGUACAAUUUCUAGAAUACUACCUGCGACUGAUUGGGAUAGUGAAUUGGACCGAAUGUUAAUGCGACCAGCCCAGUCCAAGGGUGCUAUUUCAUUUUAUUAUAAACAACUCCACACUAUAAUAGACCAUUCUACAUAUAAAACUGGUAUAGCCCAAUGGCUGGAACAUUUUCCUAACCUAGAUGUAGAUAGAUUAUUGCACAUGUUACAUUUCUCAAUAGCCACGUUCCCAGCUGCUAAAUACACAGAGAUGUAUCUUAAUAUCUUUCAUAGAUCUUAUAUUUCUCCUCACAGAGGUUUCUUGAUAGGCCUAUUAGAGGAUCCUUCCUGUCCCAAAUGUGGCCAUCACUCGGCUGAUCUUUACCAUUGUCUAUGGGCCUGUCCACUUUUAAGACCGUUUUGGUUAGCAGUAUGGCGCUUUGCUUCACAACAUUUAGUGAAUUACAUUCCUCCUACACCGGAAUGGGCCAUAUUUGGUAUAAUACCCCCUGGUGUCAGAGUACCCAAACCUGUCAAAAAAUUACUUCUAGCAAUCUCAUCGGCAGCUAGGAAAGCUGUCUUGCACAUGUGGGUCCAUAGCUCUGUUCCAACUCUAAAAAUGUUCAGGGACAAACUAUUUUUUAUUUGUCAUAUGGAUUGGCUGGAGGCCUCACUCCAAAAAGAAUCUCGCACUGAAUCUUUUUUCGCAACAUGGGAAAGUUUUAUUGAAACACUUCCUAUUCAUACUAAAGUGGCCAUAAGCUCCUGUUUCCGCAGCACACUCUGGUAUGAAACCCGGAUUUUUCUUGGAGACCCUCCCGUUACGCUUGAUAGCGCUGAAUAGAAGCUAUGUUGUGUUCCCAUCUCUCUGUAGAUCUAGGGAGUGUCCAGAGAUGUUAUUCAGUAUUCUAUGAUAUUGUACAAAUUGCUUGGCUGUGUGUUCCUCCUGCACCAUGUACCAUGUUUUGCAUUUGCUACAUUAUGUCUUUUUUCUUUUCUUUUUUUAUUAUCCACAAUGUUUACAUGUUUGUU